This is a long non-coding RNA of Drosophila montana, 1045 nucleotides long. RefSeq lists it as uncharacterized. The record is from RefSeq and is a predicted model, not a curated record. NCBI's taxonomy places the organism in Eukaryota, Metazoa, Arthropoda, Insecta, Diptera, Drosophilidae. The transcript is spliced from 4 exons.
AUUGUACACGAUGAGGGCUUGCUGUCGAAUGAGACAAUCGGCAGCUUACCUAUUUUAUUUGUGCGUUACUAUCGAGCAACUUAUUCAAAUAUAAUUAGCGUACAUAUCGAUACUUAAAACAAAGUGGCAACUCCGCAUGCGAUGAACGAGAAUUCAUCGCAUGCAUCGAAAGUGAUCGACUGCAGUGUAUUGCAGUCUGGCAAUAUUUUCUUACAAAUAAAUUAUACAUGAUACAUUGUAUUGUGUUUUAACACCAGUUACUAAUUAAUUAAUGAUUCUUUUCUUUCCAGGGGACUCUGGUGAAUUCGCAAGCGGGCGUGCCUUUCGAUGUGCGAGUUGCCUCCAGUUAUGUCCGGGUCGCCACUCGCUAACUGGAUACUGCUGCAGCGUCGGUUGCCGUUGGCCAUAUGUCGCGUGCCGUAGUGGACUUUGCAAGGAAUGCGGCCAAAUUUGCAGCUGUUCCUGGUCUGUGGUUGGAAAAUGCCUGUGUUGUUGCUGCUGUGCUGACUGAGGGGACCGCUUGCGCUUGGUGCCUGUCGGAGUUUGUUGUUGUAGCUUAGUGUGCUCACUGAUCCCUUGCUGCCUAUGUCGGUGAUGCCGUGGCGGCGGUGAUCGGAUUGGUUGUGCAGGUGAGUAUUGCUGGCUGUUGCUGAAUGAUCCCCGGCUGUCCUUGUCGUUGUUGCCCUGGCUGAGGGAAACUCAUUGGCGGACUUUGUUGUUGUUUUUGCCGUGGCUUGCGGAGCAGCUCUGCUGAGACUUGUUGCUGCUGUUCAAUGAUCUCUUGCUGCCUUUGUCGUUGAUACCGUGGCGGAAGAGAUUUAAUUGGUUGUGCAGGGAUGAUUCGCUGUGUCGUUGUUGAUGAGGGUUCUGCCCGGCUCUGCUGCUGCCGCUCCAUACUCCGCAACUGUGCAAAACUUCGUACAGUUGUUCGCUUAGCAAUCACUUGCUGCCUUUGUUUUUGACGUCGUGGCAGGGGCGACCGAAUUGGAUUUGCAGAAUUAACUAGCUGCAUUUUUGCUGGUAGGCCUUCUGCCUGGCUCUGUUG